GGGGAAUUUUCCGCAAUGGGCGAAAGCCUGACGGAGCAAUACCGCGUGAGGGAGGAAGGCUCUUGGGUUGUAAACCUCUUUUCUCAGGGAAUAAAAAAAUGAAGGUACCUGAGGAAUAAGCAUCGGCUAACUCCGUGCCAGCAGCCGCGGUAAUACGGAGGAUGCAAGCGUUAUCCGGAAURAUUGGGCGUAAAGCGUCCGCAGGUGGCUAUGUAAGUCUGCUGUUAAAGAGCAAGGCUCAACCUUGUAAAGGCAGUGGAAACUACAUAGCUAGAGUGCGUUCGGGGCAGAGGGAAUUCCUGGUGUAGCGGUGAAAUGCGUAGAGAUCAGGAAGAACACCGGUGGCGAAAGCGCUCUGCUAGGCCGCAACUGACACUGAGGGACGAAAGCUAGGGGAGCGAAUGGGAUUAGAUACCCCAGUAGUCCUAGCCGUAAACGAUGGAUACUAGGCGUUGCUUGUAUCGACCCGAGCAGUGCCGUAGCUAACGCGUUAAGUAUCCCGCCUGGGGAGUACGCACGCAAGUGUGAAACUCAAAGGAAUUGACGGGGGCCCGCACAAGCGGUGGAGUAUGUGGUUUAAUUCGAUGCAACGCGAAGAACCUUACCAAGGCUUGACAUGUCGCGAAUYCYUCUGAAAGGAGGGAGUGCCUUCGGGAGCGCGAACACARGUGGUGCAUGGCUGUCGUCAGCYCGUGUCGUGAGAUGUUGGGUUAAGUCCCGCAACGAGCGCAACCCUCGUUUUUAGUUGCCAGCACUUCGGGUGGGCACUCUAGAGAGACUGCCGGUGACAAACCGGAGGAAGGUGGGGAUGACGUCRAGUCAGCAUGCCCCUUACGCCUUGGGCUACACACGUACUACAAUGCUACGGACAGAGGGCAGCAAGCAUGCGAAUGCAAGCUAAUCCCGGAAACCGUAGCUCAGUUCAGAUCGCAGGCUGCAACUCGCCUGCGUGAAGGAGGAAUCGCUAGUAAUUGCAGGUCAGCAUACUGCAGUGAAUUCGUUCCCGGGCCUUGUACACACCGGCCCGUCACACCAUGGAAGCUGGUCACGCCCGAAGUCGUUACCCCAACCGCAAGGAGGGGGAUGCCUAAGGCAGGACUGGUGACUGGGGUGAAGUCGUAACAAGGUAGCCGUACCGGAAGGUGURGCUGGAUCACCUCCU
RNAcentral lists this ribosomal RNA (1162 nucleotides) under Cylindrospermum alatosporum. RNAcentral describes it as "16S ribosomal RNA". It matches the Rfam family "Bacterial small subunit ribosomal RNA", at positions 356 to 1531 of the family's 1533-position model. Lineage: Bacteria; Bacillati; Cyanobacteriota; Cyanophyceae; Nostocales; Nostocaceae. RNAcentral also lists the same sequence under 1 other name. The record is from RNAcentral.